Molecule: ribosomal RNA, 492 nt
Filed under: uncultured bacterium
Lineage: Bacteria
Description: partial 16S ribosomal RNA
Rfam family: Bacterial small subunit ribosomal RNA
Source: RNAcentral
AGUGAACGCUGGCGGUAGGCCUAACACAUGCAAGUCGAACGGCAGCACAGUAAUAGCUUGCUCUUACGGGUGGCGAGUGGCGGACGGGUGAGGAAUACAUCGGAAUCUACUUUUUCGUGGGGGAUAACGUAGGGAAACUUACGCUAAUACCGCAUACGACCUACGGGUGAAAGCAGGGGAUCUUCGGACCUUGCGCGAUUGAAUGAGCCGAUGUCGGAUUAGCUAGUUGGCGGGGUAAAGGCCCACCAAGGCGACGAUCCGUAGCUGGUCUGAGAGGAUGAUCAGCCACACUGGAACUGAGACACGGUCCAGACUCCUACGGGAGGCAGCAGUGGGGAAUAUUGGACAAUGGGCGAAAGCCUGAUCCAGCCAUACCGCGUGGGUGAAGAAGGCCUUCGGGUUGUAAAGCCCUUUUGGUGGGAAAGAAAAGCAGCAGGUUAAUACCCCGCUGUUCUGACGGUACCCAAAGAAUAAGCACCGGCUAACUUCGUG